CCUACGGGAGGCAGCAGUGAGGAAUAUUGGUCAAUGGACGCAAGUCUGAACCAGCCAUGCCGCGUGCAGGAAGACGGCUCUAUGAGUUGUAAACUGCUUUUGUACGAGGGUAAACGCAGAUACGCGUAUCUGUCUGAAAGUAUCGUACGAAUAAGGAUCGGCUAACUCCGUGCCAGCAGCCGCGGUAAGACGGAGGAUUCAAGCGUUAUCCGGAUUUAUUGGGUUUAAAGGGUGCGUAGGCGGUCGGAUAAGUUAGAGGUGAAAUCCCGAGGCUCAACUUCGGAAUUGCCUCUGAUACUGUUAGGCUAGAGAGUAGUUGCGGUAGGCGGAAUGUAUGGUGUAGCGGUGAAAUGCUUAGAGAGCAUACAGAACACCGAUUGCGAAGGCAGCUUACCAAGCUACGUCUGACGUUGAGGCACGAAAGCGUGGGGAGCAAACAGGAUUAGAUACCCCUGUAGUC
Molecule: ribosomal RNA, 460 nt
Filed under: uncultured bacterium
Lineage: Bacteria
Description: partial 16S ribosomal RNA
Rfam family: Bacterial small subunit ribosomal RNA
Source: RNAcentral